Molecule: non-coding RNA, 187 nt
Filed under: Aminobacterium colombiense
Lineage: Bacteria; Thermotogati; Synergistota; Synergistia; Synergistales; Aminobacteriaceae
Source: RNAcentral
AUUAUGGCUAUGAUAUCUGAUAAAAUCAAAUAAGAAAGUCUGUUUUCCGGUAUAGGGAAUCUGGUGCAAAGCCAGAACGGCCCCGCCACUGUAACAGCGACGAACUCGCAAAGCCACUGGAAUUUCCGGGAAGGCGCGAGGGAGGAUGAACUGGAGUCAGGAGACCGAUCGGAAAGCUUGGUGGUUC